Molecule: long non-coding RNA, 20446 nt
Filed under: Capsicum annuum
Lineage: Eukaryota; Viridiplantae; Streptophyta; Magnoliopsida; Solanales; Solanaceae
Description: long non-coding RNA (CANN_LNC021657)
Source: RNAcentral
AAUAACCGCCCCAGCCCACCUUUGCCAUACCUUGACCCGACCCAUUCCCGUAUGUUUUUUCCCCUUCAGCAUAACAGCAACAACUAUCAGCAACAUCGUGACAACAACAAUAAAAUUAUGAUGAACCUCUCAGUCCGAUUCCAAGCAGCUCCGACCCGACAAAACCCGCCGUUUCUCCUCUCCCUUACUUUGAUCGUACUCUUCACAUGAGUAGCAUGCGGUUUUGUUCCAUAGAAAGUCUGAGAAUCCUCUAAAAGAUGUAUAGGUGUCCCCUCAAUGGAUCAAUUCCGCAAAACUCAGUAACAAUGGUACGAUUUCGUGCAAAUUUGGGGGAUUUUCAUUGGUUGGGGGUACAAGUCAUUUUACAAAAAUCUUAUUGGUCCACCCCUCUCUUUAUCCGAAAAGAAAAUCCAAAAAUUGGGAGGUUCAGUUGAUGAAACCCCCAAGCGGAAAGGGGGAACUCGAAUUUCAAAUCCCUUAAUCUCCUAUUUCAAAAGACCCCUAUUCAUAUUCUAUAUAAGAGUCCUUUGGUUCUUGUUUAUGAGAGGUUGGAAAAUCUUGAGUCCAAAAAGAGGGGAAAAUUUCAAAAAGGCAGAAACACAAGGUUGGAAAUUCUAGGGUUCGAAAAUCAGGGGGUUGGGAAAUUGGUUGAGAUAGCUCGGCUGAGAAAAUUUCUUUUGGGUUGAGAAAAGGAUCAGGUAAAAUCUUUUUCUCUUUGAAAGCAAAAGAAAAGGAAAAAAAAACCCAGGGAGCACAAGUCGGUUCCUUUUAGUAAAAUUCUUUUCAUAGAUUUUUCAACUAAUUGGAGUCCCGAGGUGACGAUUGAGAUGUUUUUUCGGUGGUUGUGAUUCUGAACGAAGCUCGAGUCCUGUUUUGCUGCCCCGAAAGAGGUAAAUACCUCGUCCCUUUUAGUUCUGAUGUUUCCUUCUUCCCGUCGAUCUGUUAGUGUGUUAGAUAUAUUCUCGUCAUAGUUGUAGAAAUUCUAGAAUUUGUAGGAAUGCUAGAAAUUAUUUGCUGGAAGUAGCUGUAGAAGGCCUCGUCGGCUGUAGGAUUAGAUUAUAUUGAUCGUUAUGUUGUUUGGUGCAUCUUAGGUCAUUCCAUAUUUGGUUUUCUUUGGACGCAGUUUUUCAUGUUAAUAUGUUGACUGGUUAAAGCCUCGUAUAUCAUUAAAUUCCUGCCUUUCCUUGUUCAUUGUAUCAUCUUGAUUUAAAGGCUACCGUUGUGAGGUGUUAGAUUAUUGUCUUGUUUGAAUUUUGUUGGACGAAAGUCGAAAUGUGUAAUUUUUCUCCGGAUAUGUUCAGAAUUUUGAGUUAAAAGGCUUAAAUUUCAUGAUUUGUUAUUGUUCUUGCUCUCGAAACUACUGUAACAUUAGAUUUUAUUCAUCCCCAACAUGUCAUUUUCACGUUUCGAGUACCACGAUUUGAGUCACUGUCUCAGUGUUUGAAUAUUCCAGCCUAUUUACACCUUUUUUUUAUAUAGUUUAGUUUCGAUUCGUUCCGGUCUUCCUAAAUUCUGUUCUUUAUCUAGAGUUAGUGCUGAUGGUUUUUUUUUAUUCACCUUGUCAGCUGAGGUUAGUCAUGAAAUAUGAAAACUUUAAUCUUCUAAGAAAAUAAGUCUAGUUUCUCAGAAAUUGAUCCUCGUUAGAUUAUGUCAAUUGUUGGUUGUUCCCGUGAAGUGUUUCCCAGGAGAUUGGUUUAUUCACAUGUUGUUUAUAUGACCAAAAUGUGUUCAAGAUUUUAUUACUCAUGCUUCAUGUUCCAUUUGAUUCCUGUUUUACCGUUUGUUCUCUUUUGCCUUCGGGAUGUCUAUGAACACACUAUAGAAUGAAUAUUAUUUCAUGGCUCUCGAAUAUGUUUAAUCUUCUUAACGUGUUAUCUAAUUUCCGAGUUCAUUAUUUUAUCAUGUUGUCUGCACUAACCUUUAAACCUCGGAGGGUCAAUAAGAAUUAUCCAUUAUGUUUGAGGCCAUUAAGGUGUUUGUUCUUUUUAUUUUUCUUAUUUGGAUAUCUAAUAUCUCUUCCUUAUUUUUGUUUUCUUUGUUGCUUGUUUUUUGUCUAUUUCAUUUAUUGUUGAAACUUGGAUGCUUCAAAUGGUCAUAGUAGAAGGAUGUAGCGAGAUAUCGUUUAGCAUUUUUUCUUUUAAAAUUGAUUUUGAAUAAGGUAGUAUUUAGUUAAUAGCUUUUGAAUGUGUUAAUCAGUUUACUUUUUUCCUAUCUGUAUUCUGGACAUGUUCUAAUUUCUUUAGCAUUUUGAUGUUAAACUUCUGUUUCUCACUUCUUGAGCAUGUAUGCCAAUCAUCCGGAUUGACACUUUUUCUCUUUAACAUGACAUUACUUUUGCUAAGUUAACAUGUCCCCUUUUAUAAUGCCUACCUACUAUUAAAUAAGAUACGUGAUAUUCUGGCAUUUUGAUUUGGAUAUUAGUGUUAGGACAUUUAUUAAUUACUCUACUUUCCCUUUGCAUGCGGAUACGCUCGAGUUCUUUACGUGGAAUCUCUUCCCCUUUGCAUGUUCUUUACGGGCCAUUGAGGCCCACUUAGUCUUGAAUUGAAUUUGAAGACCCAAAAGAUAAUCACAUGGCAUACGGAUGCAAGAAGUCGAAAGAGGAAUAACGUGUUAAAAACCCGCAUUUGAAGCAUCCAAGUGACUUGAAAGUCCUGGUUUCCAUUUCAUUUAUGUAUUUAGUCAUUUAUUAUUGUUGUCUUUAUUUAUUUAGUUAUUUAUUUUUAUUCAUUCAUUUGGGCCACGAAGCCAAAGUUGUAUUUAAUACAGGUGGAAGCGAGACUCGAGCCAACGACUCAAAAACUAGACUAGGACAGGUGAAAUGGGUUGAAAGCCCAAUUAGAUUAGGACAGGUCUUAUUGAUUUGGGCCUGAUGGCCUAAAUCCCUUACUUCCUCCCCUUUCCCUCUUCUUUUGCUUGUUUGUCUUAUGUGUUUUGCGAACCUAGUUAAAUCCUUAGUCAAGUCGCUAAAAAACUGACUUUGCAUAAACACCAAAAUAUUUCUAAAAUCACUUUCUUUUCAAAAAUCAACUUUUUCAAGGUUAAUCAAAGACGAUUUUCAAACAGUCCAGAUAACCGCAAGUUAGCAGAUGUUUUAGGUACCUAACACUUUCCUAAAACGUCAAUAAGAACCGCUUAUCUAGAAUCUCUAACUUAAAAUGACUUUCCUGUUUUGAAUCAUUUGAAGUAAUUCUCUAAAGGUUUCUUAAUUUUUUUUCAAAAUUAAGUGGCGACUCUACUCUGUAAAAGUCAAAAUUUCUCGUCAAAAUAUAAAUGGCGACUCUGCUGGGGAUUUUUAACUAGGUUCUAACCAAAUGUUUGAUUUCGUCUUUUGAUUAACUGUUUAUAUGUUUAUAUGUUUCAAUUCUAUAAAGUUUAACUAUCGCAUCUCAUGGCAUAUUCCUGCAUUAUUUAAACUGUUUUGGGGUUUCGUGGAUGUCCCGGCCCCUAUUGCUCAAUUCCAAUAAUGUGUUGGAAAUACGAAUGACUUAUUAGCACGUGAGUUGUCUGAUGGCUAUUAGUAUUUUCAAACUCAAGUUGUCUGCUUGAGAACCAGUGUUCAAACCCACUCGAGACACCUAGGAUAGAACGAAACCAAAACCCUAUUUUAGGCAUGAGCCUAGGACGGCCCAAUACCCGAGCGGGGUAUUGGGCCCAUUAGAAAACCUGCCCUACGUCUAUUGACCCCAAGUCAAUUAAUAGACGAAUUAUAUUUAUGUGUUGAAAAAAUAUAUAUGCUUGUCUAAUUCAAUCCAUUACCCUUUAGGGACGGGGGAAAGCUUAUCUUUGCCUAUUUUCGUGUAGGAUAUGGCUCAACUGCAUUCCCCCAAAAAGUUCAAGAUGGUUACUAAACCCGACGAUUUCAUGAAACUAUGGUUGGAUUAUAUGAGCAUAGAAAAGAGAAAGAUUGUUAGAACACACAUCGGGCAUCUGCCUUCUUUGAUCAAGAUGAACGCUUGACCCGAAAUGAUCCAUGUACUUACAACUUUUUGGGAUGAUCUGAAUAUGGUAUUUCGCUUUGGGGAUGUUGAAUUGACUCUUACCAUUAAAGAGGUAUUGAUUUGCUACGAGAGUACUAAAAUAUGUUUUAAGAGAAAGGAGACACCUGAUAAGAACAUUUUAGUCCCAGUUGUGUGGGAUCAUCAAAAGAUCAAGCAGGUAUUUUUAACUGACAAUGACACCUGUCUAGGGGAACGUGAUGGAGAAAAUAUCACUUUUCAUGAAUUAUAUCGUCGGUUCGGAAGAUUUAAUUCUUUUCACAAAUUUUGACAUAAAUUUGAGUCAGAAUCAAAAUAGAAGGAGACGAGGGCCUUUGAGUUUGCGGUAGGCCUACUCGGAACCAUGGUGUUCCCACAAGGGAAAAAUGGCACAAUUCGUCUCAGUGACCCAUACGCUCUUCUUUGGAAUGGAGUACAAUUCUAAAAAGGUAUUCCACAACUUAGCUCCCAUGAUUGUCGCCGACAUAUAUCGAGCUUUGGGAAGAUGUCAAGUCGAGAAUCAUUUCUUUCAAGGCUGCAACCUUAUAUUGCAAUGGUGGAUGAUGAUGCAUUUGGUGAAAAUCCUAGAACGGUACAACCUAAUCAUAAAACAAGAAGGAAUCUUCUAGAAUAGCACGACAUGUGGUUGUUUCUACACAAGUUCAAAAGGGAAGCAUCUCAUGAAUUUUGGUUUAAGAAUCUUGGGGAAUUAAGAGAUGGCGAUGUGCAAUGGUCCAUUAACUAUCUGCGUUCAGGGAAAUACACUAUUCGAGGGGGCAAGUGGCCUUUUUUAGUGCUUUCGGGUCUCAGGGGAACCUGUCCUUACAAUCGUGGCAGAGUUCUUAGGCAAUUCGAGAUCAAGUAGAGACACAUCAAAUUGAUUCUAUGCUCAGAUUCUUCACCGAGUAUGAUGAAAGCGAGCCUUCGCUCAAAGACUACAUGACAAAUGAAUGGAGAAGAAGAAGGUGGAUGGAAGUCUCUUUCUGUAUAGGGUAUGAACCUGAAGUCAGCAACACUUACAAGGAGUGGUUAAAAAAGAGCCUCGCCAGAGCAUUGAUUCUGGGGUCAAACGUGCCCACUCGGGUCGUAGAUGUAGAAUUCGAUCAUCAGAUUCGACUCUACAGGAUUCAAGAUGAUUUUUAAAAAAGUGAAAUCGUGCACCAAUAGAUGUAUGUAGAAGAUGCUUUAACAAUACGUAUGUUGAGGGAAGAGUUGAAAAGAGCUAGGUAAGAGGCUGAUGAUGCUAGGCAGUGUUUAAUCGAUUUGUAUGAUAGCAUGGCCUCCCAACUCAAUAGUAUAGGAAAAAUGACUUACGACAGCAAGGCACAGUUAUGCGGAAGUCAUCUGAUCAUCAAUAGGUAUCAAAUAUCGCAGGAGGUGAACAAAGCUAAGAAGGCAAAGGCAAACGAAGGAGCGUCCAAUAGCUAGUUUUUAUUUUAUUCUCCUGUGUGGGAACUUAUUUUCUUUCAUGUUAUUUCCUUUUCCCUAAAGAUUGUAUCCCUCUUUUGUUAUCUUUUGUAGGCAUUUAUGCCCUUUUUAGUGUCUAUAAAAGUUGGGGGAUAGUGGAUUGACCUUAAGCAAGCAUAUAUUUUCUUCAAAAAUCGUUAGGCCCAAACCCUUGGCUCAAAAGGGUCACCCCAAUUAGGAUACGCAUUAUUAUAAUUUUUUAUGUGAUAUAACUGUCUUAUGUAUUUAUGUGCAUUUGUUUGGAUCAAAGGCAAGUUUCUCCGCUAUGCUCCUAUGGAUGAAUUUGGCUACGACACAAACAACUCUAUGUGGCUAUUUCUUGUCAAGUAUUUUGCAUUGCUUAUCACAUAUGAAAACUAACACAUUUGCCUUUGAGUUGUUUUACUUUACAGAUAAUAGAAAACUACUCUGUGUUGAAAUAAGCUGGCAGAACAUUCCUACUUCACCCGGUCAAAAGCUCACAAAGUCCCAUCCUCUGACCAUCAUUCAAUAAUGAUUGGAAAUGAUGAAGAAAAUGCAUUGACCAUCAGGAAAAAUGUAAUAGCAGAACAGAGUGAGAUGAUUACGGAACUCGCAAAAAAGUUAGAAAUGCUUCAGGAGGAAAUAAAUCGUACUCGAGAUUUGGCCAACCUGGCCAUCACUGUCAAUGCUCCCACUCUCGGAGGACAUGGGACUCCACUUCAAAUCCCUCCCCUUAGUACGCCUAUUCUUGGGAAUCGUCUAAACAACAUAUCAUCCGUAUCCUAUCCUCAAAUUGUCCAAAACACCAAUCGCAAAAGUAACCCAGAUGUCUACCAUCCAUAAAAUCUAUCUCUAACCCCACAAAACCCAUCUCCAAAUCCAUUCCUAAAUCCCCAGAACAUAUUUUCAUAUUAAUAAAAUUCAUUCCCAAAUCCAUAAGAUUCACUCCCAAACCCACAAAAUCCAUCAAAUCUAUCCCCGAAUCCACCAAAUUCAUCUCCAAAUCUGCAAAAUCCUUCUCAGAUUCCACCAAACUACUUACAAAUUCAACAAAACCUUUUCAAUUUCCAAAACGUCUGCCCCAUCUACCAACCAACUUCCUUUCAUCCGCGAAAUCAAACCUCCCUUUAAAAUCCUCCUCAUGCCAUUAUAGCCCUUGAUAUCUAUAAUCCCUUUUUUAAUCCCGAGAUAGACCAUUACGAGGAGAAGGAGAAAGAGUGGAGGACUGAGCGUGAAAUAAAGUUGCUAGCUAUGAAUGAAGAGAUCAUGAGGAUCAAAUAAUCUCAUAGACCAAGAGAACACGACGGUAGGGUAUGAUGAUUUAUGUGUUCACCCUGGAAUAGAUUUAUCAGAAGGGUACAAGGUCCCUAAAUUUAAAGUAUUUGACGGUACUGGAAACCCAAUGGCCCAUCUAAGAAGGUAUUGUGAUCAAAUGGUGUUGGUAGGGAAAAAUGAGGUGUUAUUGAUGCGCCUGUUCAGCCAAAGUUUAAGUGGCGAAGCCUUAGAGUGGUUCAUGUCUCAGGAGUUGAAAAAAUGAACUGGUUGGAAAGCAUUGGCCAAGGGUUUCCUUGAUAGGUUCUCAUUUAACAUUGAAAUAGUCCCUGACUGAUAUUCACUAGAUCGGAUCAAACAAAAAAGUGAUAAGUGUUUUCGAGACUAUGUUUUCUAUUGGAGGAAAGAAGCUGCCAAAGUGCCAUCCCCCAUAUCUGACGAAGAAAUGGUAUCUGGCUCAAGAAGAAGAAUAUUAUACCAGGAUGGUGUCCAUUGUCAGGGCGACUUUUGCAAAUUUAGUAAAAAUAGAAGAAUCUCUAGAAGAAGGUAUUCAGACUGGAAAAAUUGCCAAGACCCCAACAUCGUUCGGGACUGCUAUGUUCUCUAAGAAGACAAAGAAAGAUGUAGGCAUGGUCUCUGCUGAUUCUGUUGCAAAACAAAAAAUAGGUUCAACUCUAGGAAUAUUUUCUCUUCUCCGCCGUCACCAAACUUUCAGUAUGUAUUCUACACCCAACCCCAAUACCAAGAUCCACUCCCAAAUGUCCAACCUCAGUACCAAACUCCACUCACAAAUAUCCAAUCCCAGUACCAAGCUCCACUCUCAAAUGUCCAAUUCUAAUACCAAGCUCCACAACAAAAUAUUUUUCCCCAAUACCAAGUUCCACCGCCGAAUUAUCAGUCUCAUGUCCAAUCCACUUUUCCAAACAACCGAACAAACAUCACCUUUAAAUUAUCAUCAAGUGCCUCCUUCUUCAAAUCAGAACCAUUAUAACCCUUCGCGUCCAAACAUAAAAAAAAACCUCCCCAAAACUUCACACUGCUAGCUGAAAGUCGUACCCAACUAUUUGAAAGAUUGAAGAAUGCCGGUCAUUUGCAACCGAUCCAACCAAAGCCUAUCAAUCCCAACUUCCAAUUUUAUCAUCCUGAUCAAAAUUAUGCCUAUCAUUCAGGAGCAGCAGGGCACAAUACCAAGGACUGUAUUAUCUUGAAACAUAAGAUCCAAGAUCUGAUUGAUCAAAAGGUUAUCACGCUUUAGUCACCGAUGCCAAAUAUCAAUAGUAACCCAUUGCCUAAUCAUGGGGGACAUAGAAGAAGAAUGAGCGUCUGGCAAGACUAUUAUUAAGGUGAAUUCAGAAAAGUGCAAAAGGGUGGAAGAGGUAGAAAAGAUAGAGAGAGCUGUGGCUACCUUAAGUGUCAAUGAAAAAGCCCCAUUUAUAGUGAUGAUGGCCCCGAAUCAAGUGUACACUCCCCCGCCAAGGAAGAAAUUUAUUGUACAAACCGCUGCUGCCCAAGGGAUGACGCGAUCGGGAUGAUGCUACAUUCCUAAAGAAUUGACCAACAAAAAGGAUUCAUAGAAAAGGUCAAUCACUGAAGGGGAGGCUGAGGAAUUUUGGAGGCGUAUGCAACCAAAGGACUAUUCAAUUGUCAAACAUUUAGGGAAUACUCCAGCUUAAAUUUCUAUUUUGGCACUAUUAAUCGCAAUACCACCGACUGGCUUUAGCGAAGGUGUUGGAUGAAGCGUAUGUUCCCACAAGGACGAGUGUUGAGAACCUGGCUGCGAUGAUAGAAAAUGUUAUGGGAAGUCAUCGCAUAGCAUUUAGCAAUGAAGAGUUUCCGUUUGAAGGAGUGAUACAUAACAAGGCCUUGGACGUCACUGUCAUUUUUUGAGACCAUGUGAUUAAUCAGGUAUUGAUAGAUGAUGGAUCUGGUAUAAAUAUUUGUCCUCUCUCCACGUUGGUUAAAAUGGGCUAUGAUUUGGGGAAAAUUCACCAAAGCUACAUAAAUAUGAGAGCAUUUGAUGAAAGGCAGAGAGAUACCAUAGGUGAAAUUAAUUUGCACAACUAUAUGGGAUCUGCUAAAUUCAAGACUAAGUUUCAUGUUAUGGACAUUCAUCCUAGUUAUAACCUGAUCUUGGGAUGACCAUGGAUACAUGGUGUAAAGGCAAUUUCAUCACCUCUUCAUCAGUUAUUGAAAUUCAUUUGGGAGGAUCAUAAAAUAGUUAUCGAAGGGGAAGGAAGCCAAGUGAAUCAUCCCAAUGGUUAUUUGCUGGUGAUGAAGAAGUUCCAAAGGGUAGUAGCUUUUAUACAGUGGAAAUUGUAAAUGCUGUGGAAAAGGAUCUGACACUCAAAGCUCCAAUGCCUUCUGUCUACAAAAUAAUUAUGACUGUGAUGUUGAGAAAUGGGUUCAAGCCUGGUCGAGGUUUGGGUAAGAAUCUUCAAGGAAUUAUUGAGCCUAUUAUAAUUAGAGAAAUCCUUUAAGUAUGGGUUAGGAUAUCGGCCUACCAAGGAGGAUGAGAUUGAGAAUAAGUCAGAGGCGAGUCUGUUUAGGUCCUUACCGCUCCUGUACCAGUCAUUUUCCAUACGUGAGAUGUCAAAUAAUGAUGGUUUUGGGGAUGGGAUAGGAAAUCUAUUCGAGGAAUGUAAUGUUGUACUAGAAGAUUUUCCAAAGUCCAGUGGGGUGAAGAAUAUUACACUAGGGAAAGCCUUGUAAAACUGGACCUCCACUCCAUUCAUAAUCCGUCACCCAUCACGGUAGAUGAAAAGGCAAUUACUAAUAGUUUUUAAAAUUGGUGAUGAUCCGGAGGAGGCCCCGCGAUCCACUCUUUACAUCUCAAAUUUCCUUUUCGUAUUUUUAUUGCUUUCAAAAGGCAUGGGCUUGUGUUUGCGCGAGUCAUCAGCCAUAGUUCGUAAUUAUCUCUCAAAUUUCAAUGAAAAGGCCAUCCUUUAAUUUUAAAAAAAUUAUUUUUUGAAACACCACUACUCAUAUAUUUUAUUAUUAUCUUAUUAUCAUCUAACUUGGUUUGUUUGUUUAUUACAGUAAUAGUAACUCAAAACCUGCCAAUAUCAUGUCAUGCCAAAGCUUAGACGGACAAAAUGAGGGGAAUGAUGAUGAUUGGAAGGAAGGUGAUGAGAAAUGAUUAGUUGAAGGUAUAGAGGAGUUUGAGAACCGGGAGAAGCCCAACCUAGAGGAAACUAAAACAGUCAACCUGGGAGAUCAUGAUGAAACCAAAGAAACAAGUGUUAGUGUCCACCUAGGGCUAGCACAAAAGAAAGAGCUCAUUCACCUAUUGCGGGAAUAUAUUGAUGUGUUUUCUUGGUGCUAUGAUGAUAUGCCAGGAUUGAGCACCGACAUUGUGUCGCAUAAGUUGCUGAUAAAUCAUGAGUUUGAUCCAGUCAAGCAAAAAAUACAAAAAUUCCAGCCAGAUUUAAGUCUAAAGAUCAAGGAAGAAGUGACAAAACAAAUCCAGUCUAAGGUUGUGGAGGUCACUAAAUAUCCGACAUGGCUAGCCAAUAUUGUCCGGCGGGAUUCAAAUUUGUGUUGACUAUAGAGACUUGAAUAGAGCCAGUCCUAAAGAUGAUUUUCCACUGCCCAAUAUCCACAUCCUCAUUGAUAAUUGUGCAAAACAUGAAAUGCAGUCUUUCAUUGAUUGUUUUGUCGGGUAUCAUCAGAUAUUGAUGGAUGAGGAAGAUACAGAAAAGAGGGCUUUUAUUAUGCCCUGGGGUGUUUAUCAUAAUAGGGUAAUGCCUUUUGGUCUCAAAAAUGUGGGUGCAAUAUAUAUGAGGGCUAUGACGAUAAUUUUCCAUGAUAUGAUCCAUAAAGAGAUUGAGGUAUAUGUGGAUGAUGUAAUUAUCAAAUCUCGUGAGAGUUCAGAUCAUUUGACCCAUCUGGAGAAAUUCUUUAACAGAUUAAGAAAAUACAAUUUGAAGUUAAAUCCUGCUAAGUGUGCUUUUGGUGUGUCAUCAGGGAAGUUACUGGGAUUCAUAGUCAGCAGGAGGGGCAUCGAGCUAGACCCAUCCAAAAUCAAGACAAUUCAAGAUUUGCCACCAUCGAGUACCAAGAAGGAGGUUAUAAGUUUCAGGGUCCGUUUGAAUUACAUUAGCAGGUUCAUUGCUCAGUCAAUAGUCAUAUGUGAGCCAAUUCUCAAGAUGUUGAAGAAAAAUGCAUUGAAUGAGUGGACAGAAGAAUGUCAGAGAGCUUUCGACCGUAUCAAGGAAUAUUUGUUUGCACUGCCAAUUUUGGUUCCACCUAGAGAAGGAAUUCCAUUGUUGCUUUACCUAUCAGUCUCAGAAAAUGCUUUUGAAUGUGUCAUCGAGCAACACGAUGAGACCGGUAAGAAAGAGAAAGCUAUCUACUACUUGAAUAAAAAUUUUAUGCCAUAUGAAGCCCCUUACACUAUCGUAGAAAGGACAUAUUGCGCUUUGACUUGGGCCGCACAAAAGUUGAGGCAUUAUCUGUCUUCAUACAAAACAUACCUCAUCUCGAGAAUGGAUCCAUUAAAGUAUAUAUUCCAGAAAGCCAUGUCCACGGAAAAGCUAUCCAAAUGGCAAAUAUUGCUGAGUGAGUUUGACAUUGUGUAUGUAACUUAAAAAGCAAUCAAGGGGCAAGCUUUAGCAGAUCAUUUGGCAGAGAAUCCGGUUGAUGAUGAAUAUUAGCCAAUUCAGAAUUAUUUCCCAGAUGAGGAAAUUUUAUUCAUAGGAGAAGACAUUACAAAAAUUUACCCUGGAUGGAGGCUAUUCUUUGAUGGGGCGAUCAACUUCAAAGGUUCAGGAAUCAGAGCAGUUUUGGUGUUAGAAAUGGGUCAACACUAUCUGGUAACUGCUAAGAUGCAUUUCCUAUGGACCAAUAACAUAGACAAAUAUGAAUCUUGCAUCUUAGGUUUUAAAUUGGCACUUGAUAUGGGUAUUCGUGAAUUACUAGUCAUUAGGGAUUCAGACUUACUAAUUCAUCAGGUGUGGGGAGAAUGGGCGGUAAAAAAUUCCAAGAUUACUCUUUAUGUGGAGCUGGUGCAGGAAUUAUGUGGAAAAUUCAAAGAAGUUGAUUUUAGACAUAUCCCAAGGAUACAAAAUGAGUUUGCUGACGCUUUAGCCACUAUAUCCUCCAUGAUUCAGCACUCAGAUCAGUGUUACAUUGAUCCUUUGGAAAUAAGCUUGAAGGAGCAACCCGCGCAUUGUGCACACGUUGAAGAGGAGCUUGAUGGAAAGCCAUGGUAUUAUGACAUAAAAAGGUAUUUAGAAUGUGGAAUAUAUCCUGAAGAGGCCAAUAACAAAAAAAAAGAAGACAAUCUGGCAUUUGGCGAAGAACUAUUUUCCAAGUGGGGAAAUCCUUUUUAGGAGGACUCCAAAUUUGGGAUUCUUAAGAUGCGUCGACGCUGCGGAAGGCAAUAAAUUGAUAAAAAAAGUACACGCUGGAGUUUGCGGGCCCCACAUAAAGGGUUAUCCCUUACAAGAAAGAUCCUGAGAACCGAUUACUUCUGGAUGACUAUGGAAAAUGAUUGUAGCAGGUAUGUGCAGAAGUAUCCAUAAUGUCAGAUACACAGAGAUUUGAUUCGAAUGCCUCCACAUGAGCUUCAUGCAAUGAAUUCAUCUUAGACUUUCGUAGUUUGGGACAUAGAUGUUAUUGGACCAAUAGGGCCACCAACAUCAAAUGGGUAUAGAUUUAUUUUGGUUGCUAUUGACUACUUUACUAAGUAGGUCAAAGCUGCUUCAUAUAGAGCCGUCACUAAGAAAGCGGUUGCAAAUUUCGUUAGGAAUAGCUUGAUUUGCCGAUUUGGAGUGCCAGAAUUGAUCAUUACUUAUUAUGAGGUAAACUUGAACAAUUACUUGAUGAAUGAGAUUUGUGAUCAAUUUAAAAUAGUGCAUCACAACUCGACCGCAAUCGUCCACAGAUGAAUGGAGCCGUGGAAGUUGCCAAUAAGAACAUCAAGAAGAUCUUGAGAAAGAUGAUAAAAAAUGAUAGAUCAUGGAAUGAGAUGUUGCCUUAUGCUUUGCUAGGAUAUCGUACAAUAGUUUGAACCUCUACUGGGGAGACCCCUUAUCUAUUGGUUUAUGGGAAUGAAGUUGUGAUACCUGCUGAGGUUGAAAUACCUUCCCUGAGGAUUAUUCAGGAAGCCGGACUAAGUAAUAAAGAAUGGGUUCGCGCUUGCUAUGAACAACUCAUGUUGAUUGAUGAAAAGAGAAUGGUUGCCGUGUGUCAUGGUCAGUUAUAUCAGAAAAGGAUGAUUCGUGCCUUCAAUAAGAAAGUAAGAGCUCGAACAUUUAAAGUUGGGCAACUAGUUCUCAAAUGCAUACUCCCUCACCAAGAAGAGUACAAGGGUAAGUUCGCUCCAAAUUGGCAAGGGUCGUACAUAGUUUGCAAGGUACUACCUAGAGGGGCUCCGAUUUUGUCUGAGAUGGAUGACUAAGAGUGGACCAAACCAAUCAAUUCUGAUGCGGUAAAAUGAUACUAUGUUUGAAAGGCAUUCUAGUUUUUGUGUUUCCUUAGUUUAUCUGUAAUCACCUUGUAAUAAUGUGUUUUAUAAUGUGUAAUUGCCUAGAACCCCUUUCCUUUAUGUACGAGCUACGUUUGACCUGAAUUCCCAAGAAAGGGAUACGUAGGCGGCCUAUGUCAGCUUCGAUCAAUCCCUUAGAAAAAUUUAUUCUUUUCUUUUAUGUACGAACUACGUUUGACCUGAAUUCCUAAGAAAGGGAUACGUAGGCGGCCAAUGUCAACUUUGGUCAACCCACCAAAAUUUAUAUAUAUCCCUAGCGUAGUCUUGAACUACGUUUGACCUGAUUCCUGCUUCAACAGGAUACAUAGUUGCCCUAAUGGCUCGGUCAUAUAACUCCAGGAAAUGGAAACUGGGGUAGAAUUUUUGAGAAGGAAUCUCAAAAAUUCACAAGAGAAGAGCAACAUCCAACAAAGAGAAUGAAAAUUAGCAAAGACUUCAGAUCCACUCGAGAUGAUAUCAUCUCAGACUACUUUAAACUGGGGCAGAAAUUUUGAGGAAGGCCUCAAAAUUUCCACCAAAUACUGGAAUAUAUUUCACAUUCACCGUCACCAGAGGUUAAAGCCAAGCUUUUGAAGCCACCAACCCGACAAAGUCUAGGUAGACUCAAUUUCUGGCUAUGACAAAACUAUUUGUAGAACCCUCCAACAAUGCUCAUAAGUUUUGGAAAUCAUCCGUCGGAUAUAGUCAAAACCACGAGGAAGACGUUCAUUGAGCUAGUACAUGACAUGACUGGUAGAAAUUUUCUAAAGCUUUUACAGAUACUUUCAAAACUAUUUUCUAAAAAUAAGACUACUUUUGAAAAAAAUCUUUACAAAUAUUUUACUUAGUGAUUACCUGGGCGUCUAUGGGAGCAGGGACCCAGGGUGGAGGUACCAGUGUGACGGGGCACCUGAAAUAUGGUGAGGAGCAAAUCAAGAAUCAAAGAAGGUCAACACGGAGUAGUUUUAUUCAAACUAAUCAUUUUUCUAUGGACGCAGGAACCAAUACACAAAAAUGAGAGUCUCUUUCAAAAAAUCCCCAAGCAAGUCGGGAGCCAUGUUAGAGCAUAUAAUGCUUAAGAACGGUAUUUUUUGGGUAGCCCAAAAAUGGAUUUAAUACCCAUUUAUCGAGGACCAUUUGAAUUGUCCAUCUCAUUUCUUGAGAUCAGGAAGGACAAACAAAGGCAUCUUCUUUUCUUUACGAACAUUGUAUUUAGAAUUUUUCUACAAAAUGGUUGCUAGCAAAAGAGAUUUUAUGUCUAAUAAUCAUCUACUUCAAGUACAGGUACAUGUAGAAAGCAAGACGCAGACAAACAAACUCAAGUGAAAAUAUUUUCAAAUUGCCAAGAGGGCCAUUCAUAUCAUCGCCAAGAGGGUCAUUUUAUAUUAUUUCAUAUCAUUGCCAAGAGGGCCAUUGCAUAUUAUUUCCAAGAGGGCCUAUUUCAUAUCAUUGCCAAGAGAGCCAUUUCAUAUCAUUGCCAAGAGGGACAUUGCAUAUCAUUGCCAAGAGGGUCAUUUCAUAUCAUUGCCAAGAGGGCCAUUGCAUAUCAUUUCCAAGAGGACCAUUCAUAUCAUUUCCAAGAGGGCCAUUUCAUAUUAUUGCCAGGAGGGCCAUUCAUAUCAUUGCCAAGAGGGCCAUUUCAUAUCAUUGCCAAGAGGGCCAUUCAUAUCAUCACCAAGAGGGAUAUUUCAUGUUAUUUCUAAGAGGGCCAUUCAAUAUAUGUUGACACGUAAGACAUAAACACUGGCGUCGAGGAUAUCAUCAGUAUUUCAUUUCUAUUGACACACGAGAUAUAAAUGCUAGCGUCGAGGAUAUCAUCAGCAAUUCAUAUCUGUUGACACGCGAGAUAUAAAUGCUGGCAUCGAGGAUAUCUUAUCAUUUAUGAAUCAAUGUCUGAAUGCAUCAAGAUCAUACGAUUUGAAGGAAUGCCUUCAAGUUGGUGUCUAAAGACGGAUGAUAUAUGAGAUUUCCUAGAAAUUGAUAAUUUGAGGGUCAUCUAUAAGUCUUAUUAUUUGAAAUAGGAUAGUGUACAAAAUCAGAUAUGAUUUGAUAGCCUGUAGGUCACCCGUAAGCCACAAUAAUAUCCUAACCGGAUAGUGUGCAAGAUCGCCCAAAAAUCGAUAGUCUAGAGGUUAUCCAUAAGUCGCAACUAAAUCCUUACCGGAGAAUAUGCGAGAUUAUCAAAUUGAUACGUCCAAGGAUUCUCUAUAAGCCGCUUCAUAUACAUGAUAUAUUAUGUGCAGGAUUACCCAAGGACUAUCAAUUUGAGUGAUAUUUAUAAGUCAUAUUGUAUCCAAGGUCGAAUGAUGUGCAGGAACACCUAAAAGCUAGCGUUUGGAGGGAUAUCCAUAAGCCAUCUCUUAUCCAAGGUCGGAUAAUGUGCAGGAUUACCUAAAAGCUAGCAGUUCAAAGGUUAUCUGUAAGUCGCCUCGUAUCCAACAUCAAAUAAUGCACAAGAUUAUCCAAAGAUUAAUAAUUUAAAGGAAAUUUAUAAAUCGAUCAUCAGCUAUAACCGAAGAGGUUAUCACUCCAUAUACAACAAGUGAUGUAGGUAACCAAAAUGGUUGCCAAACCAGAAUAAGAUUACACGAAUGUAGGGACCGUUCUAUAUAAAGUAUCAUCGGUGUCCAAAAGGGCCACCCCAAUUUAAAAACAUAUUUAACCGACAAAUGUCCUAACUAUACAACAACCAAGAGGAUUGUUCUGUUUGUUGUUGUCAAUUAUUUUAUUCCAAACAGGUACAUGAAAAGAUGACCAUGCUCUCAGGCGACAACUCACGUGGAGAUAUAGUAAAAACUACAUACCUCUCUUGUGAAUUAUGUUAGCACUAACACUUUUUGUUUGAAGCAUUGUCGAGAGAAUCCGAGAGGAUGAAAAUCUCAAAUCAAAACCACAGGUGCGGACAACUUUAGAUAGGAUGCAAAACUACGUGGAACUCUUUCUUAGCAGCAAAACAGGACAUAGUCUAGAGAGGGACGUCAAACUCUUCAGACGCGUGCUAAAGGAUGAUCGCCACCACCAUCCAACCACACCCCUAUGAGAAAGAAAGUGAGUAUUUUGGGGUAUUUUGGUUUUAGCUUCACCUCCGGGAUAUUUUCUCAACUCAUACCGAGGGUAACCUUUUCUUUCUUUUAAAUUUGGGUGACAACAUACUUAGAGUUUUGGAAAUUAUAUCCGGGUAAGUUCUUGUCUAUGGGUGUGAAGGAUCCCACAUUCAUUAGUAAGAGGUUACAAGCCUCUUUUCCAUAGCUCGAUCAACUUGUCACUCAUCCUGGUCCAAAGAUUGUUUGAAAUAAAAGACUAUCUUUUCUACUGAUUGAGUCGAACUACAAGCAGUCUGAUUCCCUGAAAUGUUGAGGAUAUGUAGGCCGGGAUCUAUGUAGAAAACUUGACUGCAUUCCAACCUCCCCCAAAUCCCUUUAUUCCCCAGCUUCUCGAUUUAACCAAAAACUCUAAAACUGUGAUAAUUGGUGAAUUUUCUUAAAAAUCGUGCUUAAAAUCAAGAUUUAUGAACUACAAGUGGUCUGAAUUCUCAUGAAACCUGAGAUAUAUAGGAAACCUGAUACCGAGGUUCGGCCAUAACUCCAUGAAACUCGUGCGAAAGCCAACCUCUUCCAGAUUCAAAUUUGUGGUCGGAAAAAAAUUAGGAACAUCAACCUCCCUUCGCCGAGGAUUACUUGCAUCCAUCCUACCCAAAGGGAGGGAGCAGUUGUUGACACCUAAUUUUUGCCCUCCACGGCUAAAUUUAAUCCUGAGUUUCUUUGGUUUUUAAUAAAAUUGAAAUAUUUAUUUUAUCCGAAUAAGAGUUUUGAAAAGCACAUUUGUAUGUGAUUUUGUCACUUUAAGUAGCAAUUAUAUAUUAUCGUGUUUAAUUAUGCGAUGUUAUACAAUUUGAUUACUUAAAUAUUUAUUCUAUGAAAUAUCGGAUUUAAUUAAAGAUUAUUGUGGAAAUAAGUAUAAUAAUUGAAAGCUUGAUUUAAAAAUGAUCUCUUUCAAAAAUAGUUUAUUUGGAGAAAUGUUUACUUGAUUUUAUCAAAUCAAAGAAGCUCGGGAUUAAACUAGUUGCUAAAUUCAUUUCAAAUCUUGAUUCAAUUUGAUCAAUUUAUUAAAUUAGACUUAAUCAAUGUCGAUUUGGCUACAAUUGCAACACUGGUGGCCGAUUAAUCUUCAAUUAGAUCAAAAUUUAAACACAAUUGACUAAACUUCCAUCAAUAGGCUAUUUAUUAAAUAGCUUAAACCUAAUCCUAAUUGGGUUAUGUCUUAAAUAAUCCCAAAAUCCUAUCAAUACGCUAUUUAAUAAAUAGCCCAAGCCGAAUUUGUCCUUUUAUGAAUCCCUAAUUCCCUGCACAAAACCAACCCAGGCCCAAUUCUCUUCAGCAACAAAACAACAACCAACCCAACCAAUUGUCCCAACACAAUAACUGCCCCAACCCACCUUUGCCAUACCUUGACCCGGCCUAUUCCCAUAUGUCUUUUUCCCCUUCAGCAUAACAGUAACAGCUAUCAGCAACAUCGCGACAACAAUAAUAAAAUUACGAUGAACUCUCAGCCCGAUUCCAACCAUCUCUGACCCGAUAGAACCCGUUGUUUCUCCUCUCCCUUGCUUUGAUCGUACUCCUGACAUGAGUAGCAUGCAGUUUCGUACCAUGGGAAGUCUGAGAAUUCUCUAGAAGAUGUAUAGGUGUCCCCUCAAUGGAUCAAUUUUGCAAAUCUCGAUAACAAUGGUAAGAUUACAUGCAAAUUUGGGGGAUUUGCAUUGUUUUGGGGUACAAGUCAUUUUGCAAAAAUCCUAUUGGUCCACCCCUCCCUUUAUCCGUAAAGAAAAUCCAAAAAUUGGGAGGUUUGGUUGAUGAAAUCCCUAAGCGGAAAAGGGGAAAUCGAAUUUCAAAUCCCUUAAUAUCCUAUUUCAAAAGACUCCUAUUCAUGUUCUAUAUGAGAGGCCUUUGGUUCUUGUUUACGAGAGGUCGAAAAAUCUUGAGUCUGAAAAGAGGAAAAAAUUCUCAAAAAGGCAGAAACACAAGGUUGGAAAUUCUGGGGUUGAAAAAUUGAGGGGUUGGAAAAUUUGUUGAGAUAGCUCGGCUGAGAAAAUUUAUUUUGGGUUGAGAAAUUAUUCGGGGAAAAUCCUUUUCUCUUUGAAAGCAAAAGAAAAGGGAAAAAAGAAAACUCAGGGAGCACAAGUCGGUUCCCUUUAGUAAAAUUCCUUUCGUGGAUUCGUCAACUAAUUGGAGUCUCGAGGUGGUGAUUACGACAUUUUUCCAGUGGUUGUAAUUCUGAAUAAAGAUCGAGUCCUGUUUUGCUGCCCCAAAAGAGGAAAAUACCUCGUCUCUUUUAGUUCCGAUGUUUCCUUCUUCCCGUCGAUCUGUUAGUGUGUUAGAUGUAUUCUCGUCAUGGUUGUAGAAAUUCUAGAAUAUGUAGGAAUGCUAGAAAUUGUUUGCUGGGAGUAGCUGUAGAAGGCCUCGUCGGCUGUAGGAUUAGAUUGUAUUGAUUGUUAUGUUGUUUACUGCAUCUUAGGUCAUUCCACAUUUGGUUUUCUUUGGACACAAUUUUUUAUGUUAAUAUGUUGACUGGUUAAAGCCUCGUAUAUCAUCAAAUUGAUGUCUUUUCUUGUUCGUUGUAUCAUCUUGAUUUAAAGGCUCUCGUUGUGAGGUGUUAGAUUAUUGUCUUGUUUGAAUUUUGUUGGACGAAAGUUGAAAUGUGUAAUUUUUCUCUGGAUAUGUUCAGAAUUUUGAGUUGAAAGGCUUAAAUUUCAUGAUUUGUUGUUGUUCUUGAUCUCGAAACUACUGUAACAUUAGAUUUCAUUCAUCCCCAGCAUGUCAUUUUCACGUUUCGAGUACCACGAUUCGAGUUGUUGUCUCGGUGUUCGAAUAUUCCAGCCUAUUUACAGCUUUUUUCAUGUAGUUUUGUUUCGAUUCGUUCCGGUCUUCCUAAAUUCUGUUCUUUAUCUAGAGUCAGUGCUAGUGGUUUUUUUUUAUUCACUUUGUCGCCUGAGAUUAGUCAUGGACUAUGAAAACUUUAAUCUUUUAAGAAAAUAAGUCUAGUUUCACAGAAAUUGAUCCUUAUUAGAUUAUGUAAAUUGUUGGUUGUUCCCGUGAAGUGUUUCCUGAGAGAUUGGUCUAUUCACAUGUUGUUUAUAUGACCAGAAUGUGUUCAAGAUUUUAUUACUCAUGCUUCAUGUUCCAUUUAAUUCCUGUUUUACUGUUUGUUCUCUUUUGCCUUCGGGAUGUCCAUGAACACACUAUAGCAUGAAUAUUAUUUCAAGGCUCUCGAAUAUGUUUAAUCUUCUCAACAUGUUAUCUGAUUUGCGAGUGCUUUAUUUUAUCAUGUUGUCUGCACUAACCUUUAAACCUCGGAGGUUCAAGAAUAAUUAUCCAUUAUGUUUGAGGCCAUUAAGGUGUUUGUUCUUUUUAUUUUUCUUAUUUGGAUAUCUAAUAUCUCUUCCUUAUUUUUGUUUUCUUUGUUGCUUGUUUUUUGUCUAUUUCAUUUAUUGUUGAAACUUGGAUGCCUCAAAUGGUCAUAGUAGAAGGAUGUCGCGAGAUAUCAUUUAGCAUUUUUUCUUUUAAAAUUGAUUUUGAAGAAGGUAGUAUUUAGUUAAUAGCUUUUGAAUGUGUUAAUCAGUUUACUUUUUUCCUAUCUGUAUUCUGGACAUGUUUUAAUUUCUUUAGCAUUUUGAUGUUAAACUUGUGCUUCUCACUUCUUGAGCAUGCAUGCCAAUCAUCCGGAUCGACACUAUUUUCUCUUUCACAUGACAUUACUUUUGCUAAGUUAAUAUGUCCCCUUUUAUAUUACCUACCUACUAUUAAAUAAGAUACGUGAUAUUCUAGCAUUUUGAUUUGGAUAUUAGUGUUAGGACAUUUAUUAAUUACUCUACUUUUUCUUUGUAUGUGGAUGUGCUCGAGUUCUUUGCAUGGACUCUCUUUCCCGUUGCAUGUUCCUUAUGGGCCAUUGAGGCCCACUUAGUCUUGAAUCGAAUUUGAAGACCCAAAAAAUGAUCACAUGACAUACCGAUGCAAGAAGUUGAAAGAGGAAUAACGGGUUAAAAACCCACAUUUGAAGCGGCCAAGUGACUUGAAAGUCCCGGUUUCCAUUUCAUUUAUUUAUUUAGUCAUUUAUUAUUGUUGUCUUUAUUUAUUUAGUUAUUUAUUUUUAGAAGCCAAAGUUGUAUUUAAUACAGGUGGAAGCGAGACUCGAGCCAACGACUCGAAAACUAGACUAGGACAGGUGAAAUAGCUCGAAAGCCCAAUUAGACUAGGACAGGUCUUAUUGAUUUGGGCCCGAUGGCCUAAAUCCCUUACUUCCUCCCCUU